ACGAACGCUGGCGGCAUGCCUAACACAUGCCAGUCGAACGAGACCUUCGGGUCUAGUGGCGCACGGGUGCGUAACGCGUGGGAACCUGCCCUUAGGUUCGGAAUAACUCAGAGAAAUUUGAGCUAAUACCGGAUAAUGUCUUCGGACCAAAGAUUUAUCGCCUUUGUAUGGGCCCGCGUAGGAUUAGCUUGUUGGUGGGGUAAUGGCCUACCAAGGCGACGAUCCUUAGCUGGUCUGAGAGGAUGAUCAGCCACACUGGGACUGAGACACGGCCCAGACUCCUACGGGAGGCAGCAGUGGGGAAUAUUGGACAAUGGGCGAAAGCCUGAUCCAGCAAUGCCGCGUGAGUGAUGAAGGCCUUAGGGUUGUAAAGCUCUUUUACCAGGGAUGAUAAUGACAGUACCUGGAGAAUAAGCUCCGGCUAACUCCGUG
This 432-nucleotide ribosomal RNA is filed under the name uncultured bacterium. Its description in RNAcentral is "partial 16S ribosomal RNA". It matches the Rfam family "Bacterial small subunit ribosomal RNA", at positions 29 to 507 of the family's 1533-position model. The record is from RNAcentral.